RNAcentral lists this unclassified non-coding RNA (201 nucleotides) under uncultured fungus. RNAcentral describes it as "sequence contains ITS1". Lineage: Eukaryota; Fungi. The record is from RNAcentral.
UUAUUUUGUUAUAAUAAGACUACAUUUGUUACAUAUAAAUAGUUUGUAAAAAGGUCAGACCAACCCAGGGGCCGAAGCCUUAGAGUCGAUCUUACAGUGCACAGGUGUUAUGGAUGUGAAGGGUGCGAGGGGCUUGCCGAAGCAGAGACACCCAAGCGUGUGUAUUCACUAAUGAUCCUUCCGCAGGUUCACCUACGGAAA